AGGUAGCUUUGUCGCUUGGCCUGGCCGUCUUCUUACAUUAGGACAUCCUUCAAAGUCUAAGGGGAAGAAGAGCCUAUUGGGUGAUCACUCAUUAUCAUCACCACAGAAGCAGCCCUCUGAGCCCGUUCAAGUGGUAUCAUCAAGAUUCUGAAUAUGUCUUGAGGAAUAUGCAAUUGGGGCCAGAUUAGAACAUGGCGAGGAUUUCAUGAUUCCCCUAGAGUUUGAGCCAGAGGUAUACGGUCGACCCUCGUCAGAUUAUGUCACAAAUGAAGUAUUGAAAGAGAUUCUGACGCAUGGAAUGGCCAGCACAAAUGCCUGUAACUUUUAUAUCAGAUAUCUUUUCAAGAACUUCAUAGCCCCUGGUGGCCUUGAUGACAAGUUCAAGAUUAUCAGCCCCCACACUUUUGCUGGCCACGGA
Molecule: long non-coding RNA, 418 nt
Organism: Neltuma alba
Lineage: Eukaryota; Viridiplantae; Streptophyta; Magnoliopsida; Fabales; Fabaceae
Exons: 3
Source: RefSeq, a predicted model, not a curated record